GAGUUUGAUCAUGGCUCAGAUUGAACGUUAGCGGCACGCCUAAUACAUGCAAGUCGAACGAGAAAGCACCUUCGGGUGCGAGUACAGUGGCGGACGGGGGAGACGCGUAGGAAUCUACCCAGUAGUAGGGGACAACUCGAGGAAACUCGAGCUAAUACCGCAUACGCCCCACGGGGGAAAGGCCGGGAUCUUCGGACCGCUCACUAUUGGAGGAGCCUGCGUUGGAUUAGCUAGUUGGUGAGGUAAAGGCUCACCAAGGCGACGAUCCAUAGCUGGUCUGAGAGGACGAUCAGCCACACUGGAACUGAGACACGGUCCAGACUCCUACGGGAGGCAGCAGUAGGGAAUAUUGUGCAAUGGGGGAAACCCUGACACAGCCAUGCCGCGUGUGUGAAGAAGGCUCUAGGGUUGUAAAGCACUUUCAGUAGGGAGGAAAAGAUUGGAUUAAUUAAUCCUGUUUAGUGACGUUACCCGCAAAAGAAGUACCGGCAAACUCCGUGCCAGCAGCCGCGGUAAUACGGAGGGUACGAACGUUAAUCGGAAUUACUAGGCGUAAAGCGCGCGUAGGUGGUUCGGUUAGUGGGAUGUGAAAGCCCCGGGCUCAACCCGGGAACUGCAUUCCAAACUGGUUGACUAGAGUACAUGGAAGAGAAGCGGAAUUCCUAGUGUAGCGGUGAAAUGCGUAGAUAUUAGGAAGAACACCAGUGGCGAAGGCGGCUUCUUGGAUUGAUACUGACACUGAGGUACGAAAGCGUGGGGAGCAAACAGGAUUAGAUACCCUGGUAGUCCACGCCCUAAACGAUGAGAACUAGAUGUUGGAGGAAUUUAUAAUCCUUUAUCGUAGCUAACGCGAUAAGUUCUCCGCCUGGGGAGUACGGCCGCAAGGUUAAAACUCAAAUGAAUUGACGGGGGCCCGCACAAGCGGUGGAGCAUGUUGUUUAAUUCGAUGCAACGCGAAGAACCUUACCACCCCUUGACAUACUCGGAACUUUCUAGAGAUAGAUUGGUGCCUUCGGGAGCCGAGAUACAGGUGCUGCAUGGCUGUCGUCAGCUCGUGUCGUGAGAUGUUGGGUUAAGUCCCGUAACGAGCGCAACCCUUGUCCUUAUUUGCCAGCGGAUUAUGCCGGGAACUCUAAGGAGACUGCCGGUGACAAACCGGAGGAAGGUGGGGAUGACGUCAAGUCAUCAUGGCCCUCACGGGGUGGGCUACAAACGUGCUACAAUGGGCGGUACAAAGGGCUGCAAACCAGCGAUGGUAAGCGAAUCCCAAAAAACCGCUCGUAGUCCGGAUAGGAGUCUGCAACUCGACUCCUUGAAGUCGGAAUCGCUAGUAAUCGCGAAUCAGAAUGUCGCGGUGAAUACGUUCCCGGGCCUUGUACACACCGCCCGUCACACCAUGGGAGUGGAUUGCACCAGAAGUAGUUAGUCUAACCUUCGGGAGGACGAUUACCACGGUGUGGUUCAUGACUGGGGUGAAGUCGUAACAAGGUAACC
Molecule: ribosomal RNA, 1494 nt
Filed under: uncultured prokaryote
Description: partial 16S ribosomal RNA
Rfam family: Bacterial small subunit ribosomal RNA
Source: RNAcentral